RNAcentral lists this ribosomal RNA (417 nucleotides) under uncultured bacterium. RNAcentral's name for it is "bacterial SSU rRNA". It matches the Rfam family "Bacterial small subunit ribosomal RNA", at positions 82 to 476 of the family's 1533-position model. The record is from RNAcentral.
CCUAUGAAAUCGAGUGGCAAACGGGUGAGUAACGCGUAAACAACCUGCCCUUCGGAUGGGGAUAACAGCCGGAAACGGCUGCUAAUACCGAAUACGAUCUUUUCGUCGCAUGACGGAAAGAAGAAAGGAUGGCCUCUAUACAAAGCUAUCGCCGAAGGAGGGGUUUGCGUCUGAUUAGCUGGUUGGAGGGGUAACGGCCCAACAAGGCGAUGAUCAGUAGCCGGUCUGAGAGGAUGAACGGCCACAUUGGGACUGAGACACGGCCCAGACUCCUACGGGAGGCAGCAGUGGGGAAUCUUCCGCAAUGGACGAAAGUCUGACGGAGCAACGCCGCGUGAGUGAAGAAGGUCUUCGGAUUGUAAAACUCUGUUAUACGGGACGAAAAGACGGAUGCCCACAGUAUCCGUCCGUGACGGU